This is a long non-coding RNA of Coregonus clupeaformis (lake whitefish), 857 nucleotides long. RefSeq lists it as uncharacterized. Lineage: Eukaryota; Metazoa; Chordata; Actinopteri; Salmoniformes; Salmonidae. The transcript is spliced from 2 exons. The record is from RefSeq and is a predicted model, not a curated record.
GUAUGCACUCACUAACUCCUAAGUCGCUCUGGAUAAGAGCGUCUGCUAAAUGACAAAAAUGUAAUGAGUGAUGACGUCAAGGGAGACAUGAAGAAACAUUGGAAUUGCUGAUCCUGCCAAAAGAUUUAUCCUUUUCUGUAAUUGUUAUAUUGCCUCUUAUUGGUGCUGGAUACCUCCAUCUAGUGGUGUCUCCAGCUCCCUACUCUAUUAGAAUCCUGUCUUAUGUAUUCUGAGGAAACGUUCCCGUGGUAAUAUGUAGAAGCAAUAAAUGAUGACGUUUCUCUGUCCGCUUUUGUAUAUUUCGGAUACAAUGUAGAUCACGCAUUCUAUUGUUGCUAGGUACUGAUAUAUUUAGGAUAUAAUGUAGAUCACGCAUUCUAUUGUUGCUAGGUACUGAUAUAUUUCGGAUAGAAUGUAGAUCACGCAUUCUAUUGUUGCUAGGUACUGAUAUAAUGUAGAUCACGCAUUCUAUUGUUGCUAGGUACUGAUAUAAUGUAGAUCACGCAUUCUAUUGUUGCUAGGUACUGAUAUAAUGUAGAUCACGCAUUCUAUUGUUGCUAGGUACUGAUAUAAUGUAGAUCACGCAUUCUAUUGUUGCUAGGUACUGAUAUAAUGUAGAUCACGCAUUCUAUUGUUGCUAGGUACUGAUGUAUAGAUGUUCUAAUGUGUUUUCUUGCCGAUCACGUGACAUGUAAUUCUCAUUGAAAUAGAAGCCAGAUGUCUGUUCCCGCUGAUGACGGUCUGAGGCACUAACGCUUAUUUUGGUUUCCCCUUUUAUUUAGGCCCUUCUUUCCUGUACUGUGAUAUAUUCUUUGGGCACCAGGAUGUUUCAAUAAACAUCUUUAUUUUGCUUUCAA